Molecule: long non-coding RNA, 269 nt
Filed under: Nicotiana benthamiana
Lineage: Eukaryota; Viridiplantae; Streptophyta; Magnoliopsida; Solanales; Solanaceae
Description: long non-coding RNA (NBEN_LNC033540)
Source: RNAcentral
GAGGACACAAGCCUCAACAACCUUUGCUCGGAGAUACAACACUCCAAGACUUCAACCAAGGAAACACAAGUUCCUUCUUACAACACAAGGGACACACUUCCCUUCAAGUGCACAAAAACACUUAGCACUCAAACAAGACACUUCUUUAAGAGUAGAUAUGAGUAAAAAGUAUACGCUCAAGAUCGCAACAACUUUCGACAAGAAUUUGGCUCUCAAAAGCUUAUGUAAUGAAUAUAAAAUGAUAAGCAAUAAAGUAUGCAAGCUUUAGC